This 235-nucleotide ribosomal RNA is filed under the name uncultured bacterium. Its description in RNAcentral is "partial 16S ribosomal RNA". It matches the Rfam family "Bacterial small subunit ribosomal RNA", at positions 99 to 334 of the family's 1533-position model. The record is from RNAcentral.
CGCACGGGUGAGUAACACGUAUCCAACCUGCCGUCUACUCUUGGACAGCCUUCCGAAAGGAAGAUUAAUACAAGAUGGCAUCAUGAGUCCGCAUGUUCACAUGAUUAAAGGUAUUCCGGUAGACGAUGGGGAUGCGUUCCAUUAGAUAGUAGGCGGGGUAACGGCCCACCUAGUCUUCGAUGGAUAGGGGUUCUGAGAGGAAGGUCCCCCACAUUGGAACUGAGACACGGUCCAA